UAGUGACAAGAAAUAACAAUACAGGGCCUUACGGUUUUGUAAUUGGAAUGAGUUAAGUAUAAACCCCUUAACAAGGAUCAAUUGGAGGGCAAGUCUGGUGCCAGCAGCCGCGGUAAUUCCAGCUCCAAUAGCGUAUAUUAAAGUUGUUGCAGUUAAAAAGCUCGUAGUUAAUUUUAUGUUAAUUUUUAUAUACAAUGAUACGGUAUUUAUAUAAUAUUAACAUAAGUCAUAUUACUUUUUAAGUAUAUGAAACUUUACUUUGAGAAAAUUAGAGUGCUUAAAGCAGG
RNAcentral lists this ribosomal RNA (287 nucleotides) under Cryptosporidium ryanae. RNAcentral's name for it is "partial 18S small subunit ribosomal RNA". It matches the Rfam family "Eukaryotic small subunit ribosomal RNA", at positions 465 to 784 of the family's 1831-position model. The record is from RNAcentral. Lineage: Eukaryota; Apicomplexa; Conoidasida; Eucoccidiorida; Cryptosporidiidae.